CCUACGGGAGGCAGCAGUGAGGAAUAUUGGUCAAUGGACGCAAGUCUGAACCAGCCAUGCCGCGUGCAGGAAGACGGCUCUAUGAGUUGUAAACUGCUUUUGUACGAGGGUAAACGCAGAUACGCGUAUCUGUCUGAAAGUAUCUUACGAAUAAGGAUCGGCUAACUCCGUGCCAGCAGCCGCGGUAAUACGGAGGAUUCAAGCGUUAUCCGGAUUUAUUGGGUUUAAAGGGUGCGUAGGUGGUUGGUUAAGUUAGAGGUGAAAGCCCGAGGCUCAACUUCGGAAUUGCCUCUGAUACUGUCAGGCUAGAGGAUAGUUGCGGUAGGCGGAAUGUAUGGUGUAGCGGUGAAAUGCUUAGAGAUCAUACAGAACACCGAUUGCGAAGGCAGCUUACCAAGCUACUUCUGACGUUGAGGCACGAAAGCGUGGGGAGCAAACAGGAUUAGAUACCCGGGUAGUC
Molecule: ribosomal RNA, 460 nt
Filed under: uncultured bacterium
Lineage: Bacteria
Description: partial 16S ribosomal RNA
Rfam family: Bacterial small subunit ribosomal RNA
Source: RNAcentral